Molecule: transfer RNA, 71 nt
Filed under: Ovis aries (sheep)
Lineage: Eukaryota; Metazoa; Chordata; Mammalia; Artiodactyla; Bovidae
Rfam family: tRNA
About the family: Transfer RNA (tRNA) molecules are approximately 80 nucleotides in length. Their secondary structure includes four short double-helical elements and three loops (D, anti-codon, and T loops).
Source: Rfam by way of RNAcentral
UCCUGGUGGCUUAGACGGUUAAGCGUCUGUCUACAAUGCAGGAGACCUGGGUUCGAUCCCUGGGUCGGGAA